ACACACUAACCGGCACUAGAUCCAUGCUCAUCUGGAAGUACGUUAGCGCUGGGGAGCGGAGUCUCGCUGUCACUGCCUGUUUUGCGAGACGCGUCUGGGACUUCACACCUUUUUAAUCAGGUUCCGCUGGGUUUGACACGGGCCUGGGAUCAGCUGUUUAUCGCUGUGUAGUAAAGGCCCGAACCAGAUGGGUUUCAUCUGUUCCUCUUCAGGUAGAUAACAGAUACCUUCGCCUUCAAUUUUCAGCCCCGUGCCCCUCGGCUGACGGCUGUACAGCUGCUCCCCCCCGAGCCCCCGAAUCUCUUCCCCUCAUCUGGAUAAAAAAAACGCCCUUGAAAGCCGCAAGGGGCAGAAAGCGGAUCCGUAGCCUCAGUCACGAUCGCUCGGCUCGGAUCUCAGGCUGCAUCGUUUCGCCCUGAUUGUCCUGCUCAGAGCAAACAGCGGAGGGUGCUGCCCAUCAGUCACUGUGGCGGCGGCGCUGCCCACUCGGUGCCAGCGACGGGCGACGGAUGGCAACGGAGGGGCUUAAUGAGGGAGAGAGAAGGUGGAGGUGGAGAGGACUUUUAGAGGGUUGUGCAGCAGUUUUAGCCUUUGUCAGUUUCUCCCUUGUUCCCUGUUUCAAUCUGCCUGGUGGUGAUUUAGGUUGGAAGGUCAGCCUCGUGUAAGGACACGGUCUCUUGUUCUGUGAGCGGGUUUUAAACCACCUUUGUGUCAUGUUUAACUCGGUAUUGAUCCCUCAGUUUUGUAAACUGAGGUUUUAUUUGUCUGAGGACGGGUCUCUUCAGAACUAUGUGGAACAUUCAGGGGAAAGAAACCACUGAACAUUUCCACUCCUCCUAGAAUUAAAGCUCUGCAGUCGAUGCCUUUGAUGCAUUUUAACCCUUUGACCGGGAUUGUAACCACACAGUUGAGCUUUUUUGUAGUAGUAGUACAAUAAAAUGCUUAUUUGUACCCAUUUUCUAA
This is a long non-coding RNA of Mugil cephalus (flathead mullet), 963 nucleotides long. RefSeq lists it as uncharacterized. Lineage: Eukaryota; Metazoa; Chordata; Actinopteri; Mugiliformes; Mugilidae. The record is from RefSeq and is a predicted model, not a curated record. The transcript is spliced from 2 exons.